RNAcentral lists this ribosomal RNA (253 nucleotides) under uncultured bacterium. Its description in RNAcentral is "partial 16S ribosomal RNA". It matches the Rfam family "Bacterial small subunit ribosomal RNA", at positions 524 to 776 of the family's 1533-position model. The record is from RNAcentral.
UACGUAGGGGGCAAGCGUUGUCCGGAUUUAUUGGGCGUAAAGAGCGUGUAGGCGGCUAGAUAGGUCCGUUGUGAAAACUCGAGGCUCAACCUCGAGACGUCGAUGGAAACCAUCUGGCUAGAGUCCGGAAGAGGAGAGUGGAAUUCCCGGUGUAGCAGUGAAAUGCGUAGAGAUCGGGAGGAACACCAGUGGCGAAGGCGGCUACCUGGACCAGCACUGACACUGAAGCACGAAAGCGUGGGGAGCAAACAGG